GCCCUGGACCUUGAGGACAUCUCCUCGAAAAAGGCUGGGGUCUACUGGCAGGUCUCAGAGGAGCAGGAAACGUCCUGCAAGAGCAAGGGGAAAAAUUCAAUGGAAUGUCAAAACUACAUCAAGACACUUGAGACUCUCG
Molecule: long non-coding RNA, 139 nt
Organism: Coregonus clupeaformis (lake whitefish)
Lineage: Eukaryota; Metazoa; Chordata; Actinopteri; Salmoniformes; Salmonidae
Exons: 3
Source: RefSeq, a predicted model, not a curated record